Phasianus colchicus (ring-necked pheasant) is the source of this 1939-nucleotide long non-coding RNA. RefSeq lists it as uncharacterized. NCBI's taxonomy places the organism in Eukaryota, Metazoa, Chordata, Aves, Galliformes, Phasianidae. The record is from RefSeq and is a predicted model, not a curated record.
GGAGCCCUAGUAAUUUAAUCUUCAUCAUCUUCCUCUUCUUCUUUUUAUCAAGAAAUUGCUUUCUAAAUAUACCACCUAGCAGACUCUGAAGGAGAACAGGAAGUAGAAAAUAUUAUGUGAAUCAGAAACUCUUUUGGUGAUUCAUAUGGAAUGUUAAUGUCAUGAAUCCAUUGCUAAAUACUCAUCAGACUAUCCCUCAUGGCCCUAUUAAAAACAUUAAGUAUGUGAUUUAUUCUAUUUUAGUCCAAUACAAACCUGUCACUGUGCAGCCUUAUGAUAUAGUUUCAAAUCUAAGCAUCAGAGAGCAGUCCUUACAUUUACUGUUUUUCAAAAUCCUAGAUGGCAUUCUUUGAAGACACCUGCAGAACUCGAUCAAAAAUGGUGAACUAUUUGGUAUGAAAGGAAAAGCCCUUUUCUGAGAGCAACAGAGAGCGCUGCCACUUGUCUGACCAUCUAGAGCAUUAAAGAAUUUGAAGUCUAAAGUAAUUGCACAGAAGCACUGCUAAUGGUUGUACCAAAGACUUUCCUGGCUUCUGUGUAUCCCAUACUGCUUUACAGAAGAAAUCAAAGAGAAAGCCACACCCUUUCUGUGUAUAACAGAAAUUCAGUCUCAAUGGAUCCCACAACAAUUCCAUGGAGAUACUAAACAGGACCAAGAAGAAGCAUGGUGUUGUCAAGUACUACAGAUGAAAGUUCUGGCAGCAAAGAACUAGACAUCCACUGCGUGUCACAGUGGAUUUUCAACAUACUUCCAUUUCAACAUAUUUCCAUUUCUUCCUGGGAUUGGUUGAAUCGAAGAGCGUGGCAACCAAAUAUAUGUCUCUGCUUAGAGAGAAUUAAUAGAAUGAGAAUGGAUUACUUCCCUUAUUUUAUGGGCAGGAAAUUCUGUACCUUUACAGGCUUAAGAGCCAACUGCGAAGGUCACAGGAUUCAAGCAAUUCAGUGUUAUUAUUGUGGACCCAUCGCUACUUUUCUGUUAAUUUGCUUCAGAGUAAACAAGCGAAAUAUGUAUAUGUAUCUCCCCAUACACAACAUUUACAAAUGAAAGAUAACCAGACAUUCAAAUACAUUUGACUGCAAGUAGGUUGUCUAAAACUCUAAAAGACACUGAUGUUUUUGAUUUAUGCAUUUUUCUUAAGAGGAAGGACAAGAAAGGUCAUGCCAGUUUGUGUUUGCAGGACUACCAAUGGAUCGGAUGUUUAGAAAGAGUGAAUUGUGUAAUGGGGUUCAUGAAAAAUUGUAAGGAAAGCAGAACUAAAAGAGUAAGCAGGAGUAAAAAGUAAUUAUUACGUUUGCAUCAAAACCUAUGACCCCUUAUGGGGCACUCUGAGGUCAAAGAUAUGUUUAGAAAACAAGGGUGGAAAUAGCAGAAGGAAACUUCAGUACUGUUAAAUCCAGGAAGUUUUCCAGACUGGGGGAGCUAGGAGAACGAUAUUUAAAUUUAGUAAAAGCCCUAUGAACUUUAUCACCACAUUAAGCAGCAAUAUUUACUUAUUUAUUUUUAACUUCUCUGAGAAAUCUUUUGUAUUUGGAACUCUGUAGAUUAAAAGGAUGCCCAAACUUAUUUGGGAGUAUAGAAACAGGACUAAGUGGCUAUUCUCAAAAGAUUGUAAUUCAAUAGACCUCUUGGAUAGGAGCUUGAAUAGGAAUAUAAUGACUACUCCACUUCAUCAUCUAGUAUCUGUUAAAGACAUUUAAAUACUUCCUUAGUAAUAUUACUUCCUCUGGUUACAACAACUGCAGACUGAGACAUCCUGGGAAAAUAUUCUCUUAUCUAUAGAGCCUCUGUUUUUCUGUUACUAUGAAACUUCUGUCCUUCAUUAACAUUCAAAUCACCUUCUUUCUCUGCAGCUGGUGGAGAUGCACUUCACUUUUUUGUCCUAGCAGUGAUAUAGCAGAACCUUUAACUAGGAAUGGGAUGUCUCUGGAAUCACCUUCA